UACGUAGGGGGCAAGCGUUGUCCGGAAUCAUUGGGCGUCAAGCGCGUGUAGGCGGCUCGGUAAGUCCGCUCUGAAAGUCCAGGGCUCAACCCUGGGAUGCGGGUGGAUACUGCCGGGCUCGAGUCCGGAAGAGGCGAGUGGAAUUCCUGGUGUAGCGGUGAAAUGCGCAGAUAUCAGGAGGAACACCGAUGGCGAAGGCAGCUCGCUGGGACGUGACUGACGCUGAGGCGCGAAAGCUAGGGGAGCAAACAGG
RNAcentral lists this ribosomal RNA (253 nucleotides) under uncultured bacterium. RNAcentral describes it as "partial 16S ribosomal RNA". It matches the Rfam family "Bacterial small subunit ribosomal RNA", at positions 524 to 776 of the family's 1533-position model. The record is from RNAcentral.